GUGGGGAAUCUUCCGCAAUGGACGAAAGUCUGAUGGAGCAACGCCGCGUGAGUGAAGAAGGUUUUCGGAUCGUAAAGCUCUUUCGUUAGGGACGAACGUGCUCUUUGUGAAUAAUGAGGAGUAAUGACGGUACCUAAAUAAGAAGCCACGGCUAACUACGUGCCAGCAGCCGCGGUAAUACGUAGGUGGCAAGCGUUGUCCGGAAUUAUUGGGCGUAAAGCGCGCGCAGGCGGGAUAUCAAGUCUGUCUUAAAAGUGCGAGGCUCAACCUCGUGAGGGGACAGAAACUGGUAUUCUUGAGUGUCGGAGAGGAAAGUGGAAUUCCAAGUGUAGCGGUGAAAUGCGUAGAGAUUUGGAAGAACACCAGUGGCGAAGGCGACUUUCUGGACGAUGUCUGACGCUGAGGCGCGAAAGCUAGGGGAGCGAACGGGAUUAGAAACCCGGGUAGUCC
This 450-nucleotide ribosomal RNA is filed under the name uncultured bacterium. RNAcentral's name for it is "partial 16S ribosomal RNA". It matches the Rfam family "Bacterial small subunit ribosomal RNA", at positions 354 to 796 of the family's 1533-position model. The record is from RNAcentral.